This 51-nucleotide small RNA is filed under the name bovine gut metagenome. RNAcentral's name for it is "Streptococcus sRNA SpF59 (ldcC RNA)". It matches the Rfam family "Streptococcus sRNA SpF59 (ldcC RNA)". RNAcentral also lists the same sequence under 1 other name. The record is from RNAcentral.
GACCGCUCCCCCGGGAGCCGAGGCCAUACGGACAGCCGGGUCCGCUGCCGA